This 484-nucleotide ribosomal RNA is filed under the name uncultured bacterium. RNAcentral describes it as "partial 16S ribosomal RNA". It matches the Rfam family "Bacterial small subunit ribosomal RNA", at positions 30 to 507 of the family's 1533-position model. The record is from RNAcentral.
AUUGAACGCUGGCGGCAGGCCUAACACAUGCAAGUCGAGCGGAUGAAGGGAGCUUGCUCCUGGAUUCAGCGGCGGACGGGUGAGUAAUGCCUAGGAAUCUGCCUGGUAGUGGGGGAUAACGUCCGGAAACGGGCGCUAAUACCGCAUACGUCCUGAGGGAGAAAGUGGGGGAUCUUCGGACCUCACGCUAUCAGAUGAGCCUAGGUCGGAUUAGCUAGUUGGUGGGGUAAAGGCCUACCAAGGCGACGAUCCGUAACUGGUCUGAGAGGAUGAUCAGUCACACGGGAAGUGAGCCACGGUCCAGACUCCUGCGGGAGGCAGCAGUGGGGAAUAUUGGACAAUGGGCGAAAGCCUGAUCCAGCCAUGCCGCGUGUGUGAAGAAGGUCUUCGGAUUGUAAAGCACUUUAAGUUGGGAGGAAGGGCAGUAAGUUAAUACCUUGCUGUUUUGACGUUACCAACAGAAUAAGCACCGGCUAACUUCGUG